Molecule: ribosomal RNA, 253 nt
Filed under: uncultured bacterium
Lineage: Bacteria
Description: partial 16S ribosomal RNA
Rfam family: Bacterial small subunit ribosomal RNA
Source: RNAcentral
GACGAAGGGGGCUAGCGUUGUUCGGAAUUACUGGGCGUAAAGCGCGUGUAGGCGGUUGUCCAAGUUGGAUGUGAAAGCCUUGAGCUUAACUCAAGAAAUGCAUUCAGGACUGGAUGACUAGGGGACCGGAGAGGAUAGUGGAAUUCCCAGUGUAGUGGUGAAAUACGUAGAGAUUGGGAAGAACACCAGUGGCGAAGGCGACUUACUGGACACAUAUUGACGCUGAGGUGCGAAAGCGUGGGGAGCAAACAGG